Molecule: long non-coding RNA, 2864 nt
Organism: Takifugu rubripes (torafugu)
Lineage: Eukaryota; Metazoa; Chordata; Actinopteri; Tetraodontiformes; Tetraodontidae
Source: Ensembl
AUGACCAUCAGUGAUCAACCCACAGCUGAACGCUUGAAAAGCGCCGCUUCAGGCAUCAGUGUGUUGUUUCCAGGAGUUACGAUGGCAACCAAAGGAAAAAGGAAGCGCUCCUCUCUUUGCUUGGCUGUGAUUCUUUUCUUCGUUUCGCAUUUUGCGCGAACGGCGGAAAGUUUUCGGCUGAGUAAAACAGAAAAAAGCGCAGCAGCGGCGGAUUUCAAGCCCGGGAGGAUCGUGUUCGGGAAUAUCUUUGACAAAACGUCCGGAGUCGACGCGCCGGUCGAGGAUGGAGCCCACAUCUCGCCCUCUUCCACAGAGGGGGACGUCAACUACCAGAGCGACAACUCUGGCCUCCAAACCCACAUUCCCGAUAACAUGAAGUUCAUGAACCCUUCUGUGCUGUGCGGUCUGAACAAGAUGAAGUUCAUGGCUCAGGGAGCCGAUGCCCAGCAGUUUUCGAUGGAUCCAGGAGUUACGAUGGCAACCAAAGGAAAAAGGAAGCGCUCCUCUCUUUGCUUGGCUGUGAUUCUUUUCUUCGUUUCGCAUUUUGCGCAAACGGCAGAAAGUUUUCGGCUGAGUAAAACAGAAAAAAGCGCAGCAGCGGCGGAUUUCAAGCCCGGGAGGAUCGUGUUCGGGAAUAUCUUUGACAAAACGUCCGGAGUUGACGCGCCGGUCGAGGAUGGAGCCCACAUCUCGCCCUCUUCCACAGAGGGGGACGUCAACUACCAGAGCGACAACUCUGGCCUCCAAACCCACAUUCCCGAUAUCAUGAAGUUCAUGAACCCUUCUGUGCUGUGCGGUCUGAACAAGAUGAAGUUCAUGGCUCAGGGAGCCGAUGCCCAGCAGUUUUCGAUGGAUCCAGGAGCUUCUGGACUGCCUGUACCACUACCCAAUGUCUCCCCCAGUUGUGGCUAUGACACACAGUGGAAUUCCCCUUCACUGUCCAUGGUAGUUCCUUAUAAUGGCUGUUUCAUGAUUAUCACGGGUGGAUACUACGUGCUGCCGAUGCUUUGGUACAACAUACAGUUUUCACUGUGGUGCCCAAUGUCUUCAUGGGGUCAGCCACCUCUGCUGCAAGCUGCCGCCACAACCCCCCCACCGGUGUCACAGCCUCAGUAUUAUCCUUUCUGGAACGUUCCUUUUCAGAUGCCUCAACAUGUCAAACAUCCCCCCUGGAGCCUUCCUUCUGGGCAGAUGCCUCAAGCCAUGCCGUUCCCAAACCUGCCUUUCUGGAAUCCCCAUUUUUACCCAACCAUGAUGCCAAAAACCACAACCACACCUCCAUCUCAGACAAGUACUUUGCCAAGCCCUGGUGGACAGGUCCCAUUUAAUCCUAUACAAUUACCCUAUCCAUGGGGUUUUCCGAUGUUUCCACCAGGUGGUGCGUUCCCAGUUAAAACAAAGCCUAAUCAGCCGAUGCCUCCAUUUGGUGCUGGUUAUCCCUUACCAAUACAAUGUUCCACCUGUGUUUCAAAGAUGUAGGGAGCUGCAUGUUACUGAACUUGCUGUUUUAGACAUGUAUUGACCAAUAAAGUGAAAAUCCAGAGUAAAUGUGUCCUGACUUGUGAUUUACUGCUUUAAAAGGGUCCUUUAAAAUUUCUUUUGGAUUAUGCUGUCAUGACGUGGCUGCAUUCCUGAGAUGAGAUCUUCUUGGGCUUUAGCAGUGACUGGGAACUCAUUGAGAUGUAAUGCUACUCACACUCAGUACAGUGCCUAAUUGUCAAAUAUUGCACAAAGGCAAUGCCAUUUCCUCUUGAGGCUUGAUUCCUAACUGGAUGGUUAGGCUAACACACAGCUUCACAAUGGCCUGUUUGGUAUUGUAGAAAACUCCUACAUCUAAUGUAAAUUUGUAGGUGUAAGACGCAGAUCUCAUUCAACACAAGGGGGAUACUUUUUGCUACACGGGUAGCAAACAUGCAAUGUGUUCAUGCAGUCAAUUAGAGGCCAAAUCAUUAUCUGAGGUCAUCAAUUCACAGGGCUGCUGUAGUGAAGACUCGCAGCUCUGAUUCUAUUCAUCCAGCUGCCCUGAGAAGUUUGAGUUCUCAUGUAACAUAAAAAGGCAAAAUUAUUGUAACUUAUCUGUUACAAUGGUCCUCGAACAUUGUAAACUGACCAACUUAAUGGAAUGAAAGAUCCAUGCAUCCUUUCUACUAGACCAGUACAGGUCAGAAACAUAAACCUGAGUCUACACAGUUCAAAAUGCCCUUCUCAUCCUCCAUUCCAUUUUCCUGUCUGUCCAUCAGCUUCCUCUCCUCACUACGCGGCCUGUAAGCUCGUGACGUCACAUAACCCACUUGGGUGUUACGGUGCCUGAUUCUUAAUCUUGUUUUUAUGACCUGCCCUUUCCUGUUAUUUCACGUCCUUGGUCAGUUGACCCUCCUUUGUACUGAGAAAAGAUGCCUCUCCUUGACCUCUGCUUCCCAACUCUGUUGCCACCACUCAUUUGCUUUUUCCAUACGAUAUUUUUGCCUUCUGACUUUGACAAUUGAAUUUCUCUUUCAACAAUGCUUCUCUUCACUGCUUCCUUUGCCACUUUGUUUGCCCUCAUUUCCAGAGAUCUCAUGUGAGCUGGGGUCCACAGAAACACAACACAAAGCCCCAUCCCUACACAUUUCCCACACACUGCUAUGAAGCAUACUUUGACUGCAGCCAAUGAGAGCAAAGUCUCUUGACGAGCUCACCUGUUGCAAAUGAAGACAGGUGUAAGUCUUUGACGUGAGUAUUGAAGAGAGUCGUUCUGUUGUUCUUGUGCAGUUCCAGGAUGGUGGGUGUCAGGCUCAGCCGAGUGACUCUCGCCUUCACUUUAGUCCUGUGUACUUGGGUCAAGAGUUCAACCUGUUUUGGUCUGCAUUGGUUGGACAAGAACG